GUUCUUGCUUGAUCAUGAUUGCAUGAAUAGGAAUUAUUUAGUGUCGUGAUCAUGCCUUUCAUAUGUGAUUUAUGGUACGUCUCAUGUUAGCUUUUUUUUUCAACAUAUGCAAUAUUCACAUAUAAGUUGAGUAAUAUAGGAAAAUUUUAGUACUUACAACAAAACAUUUUUUCUACGAUAUUUGUUUAAAAGUAGCCAAAUAAAUUUUAAAUAUGAGUUUUUGCUUGAUUCUGAUUGCAUGAAUAGGAAUUCUCUAGCGCCGUGAUCAGACCUUUAAUAUGGGAUCUAUAUAUGAUGAUGUGAAUUUGCAUGUAUCCCAUGGAUAUUAGGAAUGUCCUUGGCAUUUGGGGUGGAUUACCGGUGGUGGUGGUGGUUUGGCCUUACAAGGGGGUACAACUUAUAAUGAUGAGUUCCAUCAAAAAUGUACAAGGGUUUCUUGCUGUCUUUCAACCCGAAUGUCAUCCAAGCAUUUU
Molecule: long non-coding RNA, 473 nt
Organism: Arabidopsis thaliana (thale cress)
Lineage: Eukaryota; Viridiplantae; Streptophyta; Magnoliopsida; Brassicales; Brassicaceae
Product: other RNA
Exons: 2
Source: RefSeq